RNAcentral lists this long non-coding RNA (2108 nucleotides) under Salmo trutta (river trout). RNAcentral describes it as "lncRNA (ENSSTUG00000003076.1)". The record is from RNAcentral. Lineage: Eukaryota; Metazoa; Chordata; Actinopteri; Salmoniformes; Salmonidae.
UGCACACUGACUCGGUACUGGUACCCCAUAUCUUAUUGUUAUGUUAUUGUGUUACUUUUUUAUUAUUUUUUUCUUUCGUUUAUUUGGUAAAUAUUUUCUCAACUCGUUUUGAACUGCACUGUUGGUUAAGGGCUUGUAAGUAAGCAUUUCACGGUAAGGUCUACACUUGUUCUAUUCGGCGCAUGUGACAAGUAAAGUUUGAUUUGAUUUAGAUCGCUGCGCAACUCGGGAGCCCCAACGUCUCAUUAUGUAACAAAACAAGCAAUUAUAGUGUAGAGAAUCAUUGUACCAUCUAAACGGCUGUGAAAUAUAUUUUCCAUAACCAAAAAUAUUGUAUUUCUGCAAAAACCGAAAGCAAUAGAUGCAAAAACAAAACUUAAGAACGGGAAGCAUAGUAAUAGUGCACAUAGAACAUAUCUACGGCUUCUUAGACUUGCUUUCAAUGAGAAUUAAAUAUCUAUAACACCAUUUCUAUUUUAAUUUGGUCAGGUCACCCAAAAAGUUACAUAUUACAGUUUUAACAGAGUAUGACAACCAGGCAGAGCUAAUUCAAGGCCACGCCUGCAACAAGCCACACCUCCAGAUCCUCUAGUAGGCUGUCCCCGCUAAAAUAUGUUAGUGUUUUAUUUUUCAAUAAUUUGUUAUGUUAGAAUUUUGCUUCCACUUUGAAAUGAGUAUUUUGUCUAGAUCGUUGACCAAAAAUGACAAUUAAAUCCAUUUUAAUCACACUUGAAUAAGAAAAUGUGGAAAAAGUCGAGGGGUGUGAAUACAUUCUGAAGGCACUGUAUCGAUGCUUUAAGAAGUGUGAUGCGUCUUGCUGUCUUCAGAAGCCAACUCCAAUCUCUCUGUGGUUUGUGGGUGGAAAAAGCACAUCAUGCAUCUUUUUUGAGCUAGCACUUGUGUGUAUGACAGUUCAACUUUUGAUCGGUCUGGCAAGCUAUGGCAUGAUGGUAAACUGGUUGAUUUUUAAGAGAAAUUCCACAGAAAAACUGUUAUUCUCAAGAUGUCCCCUCCAACUGGUUAUUCUCCUAUUGACCUUGUGCACCACAACAAAUUCAGGCAGGCCCAAUGUCCCAGGAGAAAGUAUAUGGGCUAUAUUAAACAAACCCAUACAGUUUUCUGGAUCCGGCAUACCCUUGAAACUAAUCAAAACAGUGGAAUGGCGUCACAAAAGUGGAAACUCACAGACAUUCUGUCUUGACCAUAAAAUGGAUGGGAACAUCACCAAAAUAUACCCUGCAUGCAAUGGCGCUGCACACUUCCUUUCCCACAAUAAAACCUUUGUUCUAGACUCAGUGAGGGCAGAGGAUGAAGGUGUCUAUGAAGAAAGAGUGAUUUAUAAGAAUAACACUCUGGUCUCAUUAAAUAUAUCACUGUCAAUCAUUUCUCCUCCCUCCACUCUGCACAUCAGUGUAAACUUCUCCCACACGCUGCUAACAAUGACUUGUGAGGUCAAGGGGUCAAACCUCUCCUAUUGGUGGCUGAAGGAUGACCAGCCCUUCCUCAAAGAUUCCAGAUGGUUAUUGGGUGAGAGAAACCAAACCUUACAGGUGAACAACCUGACCAAGGCUGACUGUGGGAAAUACAUCUGCUUGGUGGCCAACAAGGCAGGCCAGUCACGGGGCCACUUCCAACUCACAGAUAACCAAUCCUCUGUGUGUAAGGAUGGAAUUGUCCGAGCCACACUGCCGAUAGGCCAGAGAGAAUUUCUAAUCAUGGUAAUAUUGGGCAUCUGCAUAUUCGGCCUGCUCAUCAUCAUUGCCUGCAUCAGGAGAUAUCACCAGGAAAUACGGAAGCAUCUGGCAGGACUUUGCAACAAGGAGCAGCAUCCUGUCAGAAACAGGAGAGGAAGGAGAAGAGACAGAGACACCCCCGUGACCGAAAAUCAUGUGUAUGAUGAGAUUGGAGAUGAACAGGAGCAGCUUGAACAAGAGGAGGUGAUCCCAUUGCCAUACAUCUACACAGACUUCCUUCCAAACAGAAAACGAGCAGAGCCCCUAGAGGACUUUGGGUACUCCACCAUCGGGCCAGCUAGCCUAAGUGGAGUCACAGUGAUCGAGGCAAGCGAACAAGGUCUUGAAUGUAGGUCCCUAGUGGAGACAGCGUAG